CAGCAGCCACGGUAAUACGGAGGAUCCAAGCGUUAUCCGGAAUCAUUGGGUUUAAAGGGUCCGUAGGCGGUCUUGUAAGUCAGUGGUGAAAGCCCAUCGCUCAACGGUGGAACGGCCAUUGAUACUGCAGGACUUGAAUUAUUGGGAAGUAACUAGAAUAUGUAGUGUAGCGGUGAAAUGCUUAGAGAUUACAUGGAAUACCAAUUGCGAAGGCAGGUUACUACCAAUUGAUUGACGCUGAUGGACGAAAGCGUGGGUAGCGAACAGGAUUAGAUACCCCCGUAGUCCCUGUCUCUUAUAC
Molecule: ribosomal RNA, 301 nt
Filed under: uncultured bacterium
Lineage: Bacteria
Description: partial 16S ribosomal RNA
Rfam family: Bacterial small subunit ribosomal RNA
Source: RNAcentral